UGGGGAAUCUUGCGCAAUGGACGAAAGCCUGACGCAGCCAUGCCGCGUGAAUGAUGAAGGUCUUAGGAUUGUAAAAUUCUUUCACCGGGGACGAUAAUGACGGUACCCGGAGAAGAAGCCCCGGCUAACUUCGUGCCAGCAGCCGCGGUAAUACGAAGGGGGCUAGCGUUGCUCGGAAUUACUGGGCGUAAAGGGAGCGUAGGCGGACAUUUAAGUCAGGGGUGAAAUCCCGGGGCUCAACCUCGGAAUUGCCUUUGAUACUGGGUGUCUUGAGUAUGAGAGAGGUGUGUGGAACUCCGAGUGUAGAGGUGAAAUUCGUAGAUAUUCGGAAGAACACCAGUGGCGAAGGCGACACACUGGCUCAUUACUGACGCUGAGGCUCGAAAGCGUGGGGAGCAAACAGG
RNAcentral lists this ribosomal RNA (404 nucleotides) under Actinomycetes bacterium. Its description in RNAcentral is "Actinobacteria bacterium partial 16S ribosomal RNA". It matches the Rfam family "Bacterial small subunit ribosomal RNA", at positions 355 to 776 of the family's 1533-position model. The record is from RNAcentral. Lineage: Bacteria; Bacillati; Actinomycetota; Actinomycetes.